CUAAGUUACCAUGGAGAUGUAUUGUGUGCAGCUAGCCUGCUCCCGACCAGGCUAACAGCCAGAAUAACAUCUGCCUGCUCCUAACC
Etheostoma spectabile (orangethroat darter) is the source of this 86-nucleotide long non-coding RNA. RefSeq lists it as uncharacterized. The record is from RefSeq and is a predicted model, not a curated record. NCBI's taxonomy places the organism in Eukaryota, Metazoa, Chordata, Actinopteri, Perciformes, Percidae. The transcript is spliced from 3 exons.